Corvus hawaiiensis (hawaiian crow) is the source of this 137-nucleotide long non-coding RNA. RefSeq lists it as uncharacterized. The transcript is spliced from 3 exons. The record is from RefSeq and is a predicted model, not a curated record. Lineage: Eukaryota; Metazoa; Chordata; Aves; Passeriformes; Corvidae.
GACAAGAGGAUGGAGCCAGGCUCUUCUCAGUGAUGCCAAGCAAUAGGACAAGAGACAAUGGACAGAAACUGAUGCUCAGGAAUUUCCACCUGAGUAUGAGGAAGAACUUCUUUACUUUGUGGGUGAAUGAGCACUGG